Molecule: ribosomal RNA, 479 nt
Filed under: uncultured bacterium
Lineage: Bacteria
Description: bacterial SSU rRNA
Rfam family: Bacterial small subunit ribosomal RNA
Source: RNAcentral
GAUGAACGCUGGCGGCGUGCCUAAUACAUGCAAGUCGAACGAAGCACUUCGGUGCUUAGUGGCGAACGGGUGAGUAACACGUAGGUAACCUGCCCUCAAGACGAGGAUAACCGUUGGAAACGAUGGCUAAGACUGGAUAGGAACCGAGGAGGCAUCUUCUUGGUUUUAAAGGACCUGGCAACAGGUACGCUUGAGGAGGGGCCUGCGGCGCAUUAGUUAGUUGGCGGGGUGAAGGCCCACCAAGACGAUGAUGCGUAGCCGGACUGAGAGGUUGAACGGCCACAUUGGGACUGAGAGACGGCCCAAACUCCUACGGGAGGCAGCAGUAGGGAAUUUUCGGCAAUGGGGGCAACCCUGACCGAGCAACGCCGCGUGAACGACGAAGUACUUCGGUAUGUAAAGUUCUUUUAUCAGGGAAGAAUGGCUUACGGAAAGUGAGCGUGACGGUACCUGAUGAAUAAGCCCCGGCUAACUAUGUG